Molecule: long non-coding RNA, 448 nt
Organism: Vigna unguiculata (cowpea)
Lineage: Eukaryota; Viridiplantae; Streptophyta; Magnoliopsida; Fabales; Fabaceae
Source: RefSeq, a predicted model, not a curated record
AUUACUUCCGGCCAAGUCACUUGCCGCUGUUAUGGUACAAUUGUGUAUGGAGGUUCCAGUAUUCUGGUUCACGUCAGUUCUACCCUGUGCUGUAAUGGCAUUGAAUUGGUUCUGCAUUGGGAGUCUAGGGUACACAUAGAAAAUACCAAUGACGUCAAAAUAUACAAUUCGGUCAUUUCCAAUGGUGAUGACUGCGUGUCCAUUGGAGCCGGUUGCCAUGAUGUUGAUAUAAAGAACAUAACAUGUGGACCUGGUCAUGGUAUAAGCAUUGGUAGUCUGGGAAAUCACAACUCCAGAGCCUGUGUCUCAAACAUUACGGUGAGGGACUCGGUUAUAAAAGUGUCAGAUAACGGGGUUAGGAUCAAGACGUGGCAGGGUGGAUCAGGAACAGUAUCAGGAGUGACAUUUAGUAAUAUUCAUAUGGAAAGUGUUAGGAACCCAAUCUUAU